GAUGAACGCUGGCGGCGUGCCUAAUACAUGCAAGUCGAGCGAACAGAUAAGGAGCUUGCUCCUUUGACGUUAGCGGCGGACGGGUGAGUAACACGUGGGUAACCUACCUAUAAGACUGGGAUAACUUCGGGAAACCGGAGCUAAUACCGGAUAACAUUUGGAACCGCAUGGUUCUAAAGUGAAAGAUGGUUUUGCUAUCACUUAUAGAUGGACCCGCGCCGUAUUAGCUAGUUGGUCAGGUAACGGCUUACUAAGGCAACGAUACGUAGCCGACGUGAGAGGGUGAUCGGCCACAUGGGAACUGAGACACGGUCCAGACGCCUAAGGUAGGCAGCAGUAGCGAACCUGCGGCAAAGGUCGAAAGCCUGACGGAGCAACGCCGCGUGAGUUAUGAAGAGGUCGGGCUCGGAAAAAUCUGUUAUUAGGUAAGAACAAACGUGGAAUGAACUGAGCACGGCGUGACGGUACCUAGUAAGAAAGCAACGGCUAACUACGUG
Molecule: ribosomal RNA, 497 nt
Filed under: uncultured bacterium
Lineage: Bacteria
Description: partial 16S ribosomal RNA
Rfam family: Bacterial small subunit ribosomal RNA
Source: RNAcentral